GCGGGAGUGGCGAAACAGGUAAACGCAGAGGACUUAAAAUCCUCCGCCGUGUCAAAUGGCUUACGGGUUCGAGUCCCGUCUCCCGCACCA
RNAcentral lists this transfer RNA (90 nucleotides) under Lysobacteraceae bacterium. RNAcentral's name for it is "tRNA-Leu". It matches the Rfam family "tRNA". Rfam says of the family: Transfer RNA (tRNA) molecules are approximately 80 nucleotides in length. Their secondary structure includes four short double-helical elements and three loops (D, anti-codon, and T loops). The record is from RNAcentral. Lineage: Bacteria; Pseudomonadati; Pseudomonadota; Gammaproteobacteria; Lysobacterales; Lysobacteraceae.